Molecule: long non-coding RNA, 568 nt
Organism: Pollicipes pollicipes
Lineage: Eukaryota; Metazoa; Arthropoda; Thecostraca; Pollicipedomorpha; Pollicipedidae
Exons: 2
Source: RefSeq, a predicted model, not a curated record
CAGCGCCGCCAUUUGCACGUUGAUGGUGACGAUCAUCUACUUGGGUUUGGAAACCUUUUACUACAAAACAGCAUACUGUGGAUUCACAACUUUGUUUCCGAUCAUUAUAUCAGCGGUGACGCUCGCAUGGAUAGCGUGCGCUCCACGCUACUUGAAGACGCGCGAGAUCGACGAAGAGGAGCUGAUGAAAGUGAUGCUGCCGCGCAGGAAAAAGUGGAACAAGAAACGAGACUGAUCUGCCCCGAGCCUCAUGCAGCGCCAGCAUCAAUGGGCGCACCGGCCACUGUCGUUUGCUUGCCAUCGCUAGUCUCCGGUGUCACGCUCUUAGCACCCAAUGCGUGUUCGUCGAUUUUAGUGAACAUCCUUUUCGUCCGUGCGUGUUUUGUUUGACUUGUCGAACAGCUCCUUUUUGAUGGUUGCCGGUAUCGCUACAAGACGCCGUUUGCGGCGUGGGACGAGAGAGUGAACGGGAACGUGUGGUGCUAUGCACUUAGUAUGAAAAUGUAACGGAACGGGGCUCGUGCGUUUUGGAACCAGAGCAAAUGAAAAACACCUUAAUGCUUCGCAA